This is a long non-coding RNA of Oncorhynchus tshawytscha (Chinook salmon), 2101 nucleotides long. The record is from Ensembl. Lineage: Eukaryota; Metazoa; Chordata; Actinopteri; Salmoniformes; Salmonidae.
GUAGAUUAGACUGUGGGGUGAUGGUCCGGCUGGUAGAUUAGACUGUGGGGUGAUGGUCCGGCUGGUAGAUUAGUGCCCCUAGUUCCAUGUAUCAACACAUUAUUUCAGUUGUAUUAAAACCAGGAACAUGUGGAAAGUCCCCUACUGAGUACAGACCCAUAAGUUUAAUACACUGUGACAAAAUAGUAACAAAGCUCAUGAGCAAUAGAAUGACAACAGUCUUACCUGAUACAUAUCAAUCAAACAGGGUUUAUUCAAAUUAGACACAAACUAAUACAUGUUUCAGUUUAAAACAAUACGCAAAAAGAUAUGGAUUUAUCAAUAAUGGCUGUUGGUCAAAGGCUGAAUGACCAUUUCUAUUCAAAACAUCAGAAGCGUUGAACUUUCCGGCAAAAAUAAUACAUUUGAUAAAAAUAUGAUAUAAAUGAUAUAUAUUUUUCAAGAUCUUCAUGAAUAAGAAAAAGAUUACAUGGACAGGGGGGACCUGAUCCUAGAUCAGCACUCAUUUUAUGAGGCCCAGUCAAUAACUCUCACAAUCAGACUAUCACGUUUCAGGUAAGACCCAAAUGCAGACUGUUGAAGUAACAAUGUGUAUUAAAGCAGCAAGGGGAAGGAAAACGACAGGUCAAGGCAGGCAGGGGUCGAUAAUCAAGAGUAGGGGCCAAGGUACAGGACUGCAGUCAGGGGUCGAUAAUCAAGAGUAGAGGCCAAGGUACAGGACUGCAGGCAGGGUCAGGACAGGCAAAGGUCAAAACCAGGAGAGCGAGAAAUAGAGACUGGGGAAAAGCAGUAGCUGAUACAAAACGCUGGUUGACUUGACAAACUGGCAACCGACAGAGAACAAGUACCCAGGGGAGAAUGGGGAGAAGUACCCAGGGGAGAAUGGGGAGAGGUACCCAGGGGAGAAUGGGGAGAGGUACCCAGGGGAGAAUGGGCGACACCUGGAGGAGGGUUCGAGACAAGCACAAGGACAGGUGAAACAGAUCAGGGCGUGACACAGACAAGAUAACUUUAUAUAGUAAAUAAAUAGUAAGGUAAGUGUUCUGGGUUGUCGUGGUGAUAACAUGGUGUAAAGGUAGAAACCUCUCCAGCUGUAGAGGGCUUGAACUGUCCCUAGCUACCCUCUAGGCUGUAGGGGGCUUGAACUGUCCCUAGCUACCCUCUAGGCUGUAGGGGGCUUGAACUGUUCCUAGCUACCCUCUAGGCUGUAGGGGGCUUGAACUGGGCCAACUGUCCCUAGCUACCCUCUAGGCUGUAGAGGGCUUAAACUGUCCCUAGCUACCCUCUAGGCUGUAGAGGGCUUGAACUGUCCCUAGCUACCCUCUAGGCUCUAGAGGGCUUGAACUAGGCCAACUGUCCCUAGCUACCCUCUGGGCUGUAGAGGGCUUGAACUAGGCCAACUGUCCCUAGCUACCCUCUGGGCUGUAGAGGGCUUGAACUGUCCCUAGCUACUCUCUAGGCUGUAGAGGGCUUGAACUGUCCCAAGCUACCCUCUAGGCUGUAGAGGGCUUGAACUGUCCCUAGCUACUCUCUAGGCUGUAGGGGGCUUGAACUGGGCCAACUGUCACUAGCUACCCUCUAGGCUGUAGAGGGCUUGAACUGUCCCUAGCUACUCUCUAGGCUGUAGGGGGCUUGAACUGGGCCAACUGUCACUAGCUACCCUCUAGGCUGUAGAGGGCUUGAACUGGGCCAACUGUCACUAGCUACCCUCUAGGCUGUAGGGGGCUUGAACUGUCCCAAGCUACCCUCUAGGCUGUAGAGGGCUUGAACUGUCCCUAGCUACCCUCUAGGCUGUAGGGGGCUUGAACUAGGCCAACUGUCCCAAGCUACCCUCUAGGCUGUAGGGGGCUUGAACUGUCCCUAGCUACCCUCUAGGCUGUAGAGGGCUUGAACUGGGCCAACUGUCACUAGCUACCCUCUAGGCCGUCAUUGUAAAUAAUAAUUUGUUGUUAAUUAACUUGCCUAGUUAAAUAAAAGGUUAAAAUUAAACUUGUGCUCAUAAAAAUAUAAUGAUAUAUUGCUUGUACAGGGUUGGGGGAACAUAUGCCAGGGCUAGUGUGUGGGUGCAGGCUUUGGUUCUAGCCAAUCAGUUGAUUAGUAA